GACGAACGCUGGCGGCGUGCUUAACACAUGCAAGUCGAACGGAAAGGCCCUGCUUUUGCGGGGUGCUCGAGUGGCGAACGGGUGAGUAACACGUGAGUAACCUGCCCUUGACUUUGGGAUAACUUCAGGAAACUGGGGCUAAUACCGGAUAGGAGCUCCUGCUGCAUGGUGGGGGUUGGAAAGUUUCGGCGGUUUGGGAUGGACUCUCGGCUUAUCAGCUUGUUGGUGGGGUAGUCGCUUACCAUGGCUUUGACGGGUAGCCGGCCUGAGAGGGUGACCGCCCACAUUGGGACUGAGGUACGCCCCAGACUCCUUCGGGGGGCAGCAGUGGGGAAUAUUGCACAAUGGGCGGAAGCCUGAUGCAGCAACGCCGCGUGCGGGAUGACGGCCUUCGGGUUGUAAACCGCUUUCGCCUGUGACGAAGCGUGAGUGACGGUAAUGGGUAAAAAAGCACCGGCUAACUACGUG
RNAcentral lists this ribosomal RNA (468 nucleotides) under uncultured bacterium. Its description in RNAcentral is "partial 16S ribosomal RNA". It matches the Rfam family "Bacterial small subunit ribosomal RNA", at positions 28 to 507 of the family's 1533-position model. The record is from RNAcentral.